GAGGAAGCCCCUGCUCCCUCCCUGUUUCAAGAAGUCUGGGGUUGUAAGAGGAUGAGCUUCUCUGUGUAACGAAAGGAGGAGACUGAGUGAUCCCUGAUUAAUCCGGAAGCUGCUCCCCCAGCAGGACCUGGCGCGACGCCAGGGAAGGUUGGACUGAAUUUCAGGGGCCUGGUCGGAAGGCUCUCAGGGAGGUUUCCAUGGUGUCUUGGGGGCUUUGACACCGAGAACUCUUGGCUUCCAGACAGUGUCUUGGAAACCCGGAAACAGAUGUGCCGCGGCAUAAUGCAAAUAAAGAGCCAGGCUGCUGCAGGAAGGUCGCUAUAGGAAAAUAUUGCCAUCUGAUUGAUUUAUUCCCUCCCGAGAUCCUCCAUUGGUACUUAAUGUGCAACAGCGAGAGCGGCAUGUGGAGACACCUUACCCAGCGCGGCAGAUCUCCGGGUAAAUUAUCCGUGGUAUUGGGAACUCGCAGGUCGUUGACUAUCCCAAUU
This 488-nucleotide long non-coding RNA is filed under the name Ictidomys tridecemlineatus (thirteen-lined ground squirrel). RNAcentral describes it as "lncRNA (ENSSTOG00000034526.1)". Lineage: Eukaryota; Metazoa; Chordata; Mammalia; Rodentia; Sciuridae. The record is from RNAcentral.